AUGAAAUAUGAAAUUUUAUUAAAAGAAAAAGGGGUGAAAAGAACAAAGUUUUGUCCAUCUUUGUUCAUCAUAGCUGAAAGUUAGAGAAGAGAAAGGGGAGGAGAAAGCUCUUGAGUAUUCGGUCAUUAGGAGGAGGAAAAUUGAAGGAAAUCCCCAACCAUAGUGGGCUUGGAGCUGUGAGGGAAUUUGGAGUGGCCACCCGUUCUGAAAGUUUGAUUUUCUUCUGGCGGUUCGUGUGUGGAUCUCGUCAACAUAUCGUCGCAAACAGGUGAGUCUUGAUGUGGGUGACUUGGAGCCGGAGGGAUUCAGUGGCCAUUGUGAACACUUUUGGGUUUGAAAAAGAGACUGGUUUUCUUAAGUUAUUUUUAAUUACUAUUUAAGUUUUGGGUUGUAAUAAGGCCAUUUUAACUUUAUUUUCUUCUUUGAUUUUCUGAGAUUAUAUUAUUUUAAACAA
This is a long non-coding RNA of Gossypium arboreum, 454 nucleotides long. RefSeq lists it as uncharacterized. The transcript has 4 exons. NCBI's taxonomy places the organism in Eukaryota, Viridiplantae, Streptophyta, Magnoliopsida, Malvales, Malvaceae. The record is from RefSeq and is a predicted model, not a curated record.